RNAcentral lists this ribosomal RNA (1001 nucleotides) under Escherichia coli. Its description in RNAcentral is "bacterial SSU rRNA". The stretch from base 102 to 1001 matches the Rfam family "Bacterial small subunit ribosomal RNA", at positions 1 to 1326 of the family's 1533-position model. The record is from RNAcentral. Lineage: Bacteria; Pseudomonadati; Pseudomonadota; Gammaproteobacteria; Enterobacterales; Enterobacteriaceae.
GUCAGCUACCGCGCACACGGCCUGCCUGUGUCAGAAAAUCUGUUGGAGCAGGAUUUUUACGCCAGUGGCCCGAACCAGAAGUGGGCAGGAGACAUCACGUACUUACGUACAGAUGAAGGCUGGCUGUAUCUGGCAGUGGUCAUUGACCUGUGGUCACGUGCCGUUAUUGGCUGGUCAAUGUCGCCACGCAUGACGGCGCAACUGGCCUGCGAUGCCCUGCAGAUGGCGCUGUGGCGGCGUAAGAGGCCCCGGAACGUUAUCGUUCACACGGACCGUGGAGGCCAGUACUGUUCAGCAGAUUAUCAGGCGCAACUGAAGCGGGGAGCAAACAGGAUUAGAUACCCUGGUAGUCCACGCCGUAAACGAUGUCGACUUGGAGGUUGUGCCCUUGAGGCGUGGCUUCCGGAGCUAACGCGUUAAGUCGACCGCCUGGGGAGUACGGCCGCAAGGUUAAAACUCAAAUGAAUUGACGGGGGCCCGCACAAGCGGUGGAGCAUGUGGUUUAAUUCGAUGCAACGCGAAGAACCUUACCUGGUCUUGACAUCCACAGAACUUUCCAGAGAUGGAUUGGUGCCUUCGGGAACUGUGAGACAGGUGCUGCAUGGCUGUCGUCAGCUCGUGUUGUGAAAUGUUGGGUUAAGUCCCGCAACGAGCGCAACCCUUAUCCUUUGUUGCCAGCGGUCCGGCCGGGAACUCAAAGGAGACUGCCAGUGAUAAACUGGAGGAAGGUGGGGAUGACGUCAAGUCAUCAUGGCCCUUACGACCAGGGCUACACACGUGCUACAAUGGCGCAUACAAAGAGAAGCGACCUCGCGAGAGCAAGCGGACCUCAUAAAGUGCGUCGUAGAUUACGUGGAUGUAAUCGCGUACGCCAGUACCAUCUUCGGUCGGAUAAUCGUUACCAAAAAUCGCCAGCGAGUCGCGACGGCCUACAGCAACCUGGGCGAUGUAUGGCAUCAGGUUAUUCGGAAUGCCUUUGCGGCGCUAAACGUGCCAGAUGU